UACACUCCUGCGGGAGGCAGCAGUGGGGAAUAUUGCACAAUGGGCGGAAGCCUGAUGCAGCAACGCCGCGUGCGGGAUGACGGCCUUCGGGUUGUAAACCGCUUUCGCCUGUGACGAAGCGUGAGUGACGGUAAUGGGUAAAGAAGCACCGGCUAACUACGUGCCAGCAGCCGCGGUGAUACGUAGGGUGCGAGCGUUGUCCGGAUUUAUUGGGCGUAAAGGGCUCGUAGGUGGUUGAUCGCGUCGGAAGUGUAAUCUUGGGGCUUAACCCUGAGCGUGCUUUCGAUACGGGUUGACUUGAGGAAGGUAGGGGAGAAUGGAAUUCCUGGUGGAGCGGUGGAAUGCGCAGAUAUCAGGAGGAACACCAGUGGCGAAGGCGGUUCUCUGGGCCUUUCCUGACGCUGAGGAGCGAAAGCGUGGGGAGCGAACAGGCUUAGAUACCCUUGAGUCCCAUGAU
This 457-nucleotide ribosomal RNA is filed under the name uncultured organism. RNAcentral's name for it is "partial 16S ribosomal RNA". It matches the Rfam family "Bacterial small subunit ribosomal RNA", at positions 332 to 801 of the family's 1533-position model. The record is from RNAcentral.